This 68-nucleotide non-coding RNA is filed under the name Variovorax sp. JS1663. RNAcentral describes it as "SAH (S-adenosyl-L-homocysteine) riboswitch aptamer". It matches the Rfam family "SAH (S-adenosyl-L-homocysteine) riboswitch aptamer". The record is from Rfam by way of RNAcentral. RNAcentral also lists the same sequence under 1 other name. Lineage: Bacteria; Pseudomonadati; Pseudomonadota; Betaproteobacteria; Burkholderiales; Comamonadaceae.
CUUCCGAGGAGCGUUGCAGCGCCAUCAGGCGUGAGGCUCGGACCCCAUCGCAACCACGCUCACCCGCU